UGGAAAAGCGCCAGGGCAACAUUUUUUGUUGUUGACGAGGUUAGAGUUUAUCGAAAUGUUCGGCGGAUACUCUAUGGCUUGUUACAGUCAUUAGGCAAGAACAAAACCUUAUUGUAAGAUAAGAACAAAAAAU
RNAcentral lists this non-coding RNA (133 nucleotides) under chicken gut metagenome. Its description in RNAcentral is "glmS glucosamine-6-phosphate activated ribozyme". It matches the Rfam family "glmS glucosamine-6-phosphate activated ribozyme aptamer", at positions 9 to 152 of the family's 167-position model. From Rfam's summary of the family: This entry contains a glucosamine-6-phosphate activated ribozyme that is found in the mRNA for GlmS. The record is from RNAcentral.